GCGGCGGUGGUGAAAUCGGUAGACACGCUAGCUUGAGGGGCUAGUGCUCGUUAGGGCGUGGAGGUUCAAGUCCUCUCCGCCGCA
RNAcentral lists this transfer RNA (84 nucleotides) under Spirochaeta isovalerica. It matches the Rfam family "tRNA". Rfam says of the family: Transfer RNA (tRNA) molecules are approximately 80 nucleotides in length. The record is from Rfam by way of RNAcentral. Lineage: Bacteria; Pseudomonadati; Spirochaetota; Spirochaetia; Spirochaetales; Spirochaetaceae.